This 511-nucleotide ribosomal RNA is filed under the name uncultured bacterium. RNAcentral's name for it is "bacterial SSU rRNA". It matches the Rfam family "Bacterial small subunit ribosomal RNA", at positions 28 to 526 of the family's 1533-position model. The record is from RNAcentral.
GACGAACGCUGGCGGCGCGCUUAACACAUGCAAGUCGAGCGAGAACCAGUCCUUCGGGGCUGGGGACAGCGGCGAACGGGUGAGUAACACGUGGGUAAUCUGCCCUCGGCACCGGAAUAGCCCGGGGAAACCCGGAUUAAUGCCGGAUGGCCUCUCUGCCCUACGGGGCGGCGAGAAAAGGUAGCUUCGGCCUCCGGCCGAGGAUGAGCCCGCGGCCGAUUAGCUUGUUGGUGAGGUAACGGCUCACCAAGGCGACGAUCGGUAGCUGGUCUGAGAGGACGAUCAGCCACACUGGGACUGAGACACGGCCCAGACUCCUACGGGAGGCAGCAGUGGGGAAUCUUGCGCAAUGGGCGAAAGCCUGACGCAGCGACGCCGCGUGCGGGAAGAAGGCCUUCGGGUUGUAAACCGCUUUCAGGAGGGACGAAGCCACUCGGGUUAAUAGCCUAGAGGGUGACGGUACCUCCAGAAGAAGCCCCGGCUAACUACGUGCCAGCCGCCGCCGUAAAAC